CACUUGUAGCUAACAUUUUGCACUGUUGAGGUCGGUGCUGGUGCUGGUGCAGGCGGUGGUGAGGCGGUUGGAGUAGGAGAACGAUGGCGGUGUGGGAUAACAGAAGUGUUGGUGGAGUUGGCAUCACCGCCGCGUGCUAGCAUGAUAAGGCAGAGAGCGAGGUAUUCUUCCUCGGUGGUCACAUGAUCGAAACGCGGUCGCUUGGAACGCUUACGCUUGGUGAACGAUUCCAGGCAGUGUAAGUUAGUGGUAUCUUCAAAGUGGAAAGGAGGCGUAGCGGUUGUAGUUGGAGAGUUG
This 297-nucleotide long non-coding RNA is filed under the name Gossypium barbadense (sea-island cotton). RNAcentral describes it as "long non-coding RNA (GBAR_LNC016184)". The record is from RNAcentral. Lineage: Eukaryota; Viridiplantae; Streptophyta; Magnoliopsida; Malvales; Malvaceae.